UACGUAGGGGGCAAGCGUUGUCCGGAUUUAUUGGGCGUAAAGAGCGUGUAGGCGGCCUGGUAGGUCAGCUGUGAAAACUCGAGGCUCAACCUCGAGACGCCGGUUGAAACCAUCAGGCUAGAGUCCGGAAGAGGAGAGUGGAAUUCCCGGUGUAGCGGUGAAAUGCGCAGAUAUCGGGAAGAACACCCGUGGCUAAGGCGGCUCUCUAGUACGGUACUGACGCUGGGACGCGAAAGCGUGGGGAGCGAACAGG
This 253-nucleotide ribosomal RNA is filed under the name uncultured bacterium. RNAcentral's name for it is "partial 16S ribosomal RNA". It matches the Rfam family "Bacterial small subunit ribosomal RNA", at positions 524 to 776 of the family's 1533-position model. The record is from RNAcentral.